UCCAGAUGAGGAUGAAACCCAUAAAUACUUCUUCAAAAGCCACCAAGUGGAGUCCUGGGGCUUCAAUCACUGAAGUGUAUGUCACACAGCUGGAAUGUGCCCAUGUGAUCAGCUCACUAUAAGUGACCUCCACUACUGGACUUCUUGGAACUGAGGUUCUGCACAUGUAUGCCAGUAAACCUUCAAGACCUGGAGAUAGAGUGCCCUGUGCAACCCAGUUUUAGGAGGAUAAAGAAGCCUGUAUCUGAUAUCUCUGGGACCCCUGCAUUACCUAUCUGUCUUCUGCUGUUGCUGUACUGUUUCCCUUGUCUGUAAUAAAACUACCCCAUGAGGAUAAACCAUUUGAGUGUUGUGAGUCCUUUCAGCAAUCAAACACUUAAGGUGACUAAAUUUGUAAUUCAGGUAAGAGUUCAUCAACUGAUCAUCUCCCCACAAUAAGGACAGCUGGUAUAGCAGACUGGCCAAAGUCUGAGCUCUGGAGUCCACCUGCAUGGGCUCAAAUCAAAGCUUCAUCCUUUGCUGAGUCUCCUUGUGUGAGUAAAUGGGGAAGUAAUAGUCUAUUAGUUUUUGUGCAAAGUUUUAUAAAAAGGCCUGGCACAGAGUAGCACUUAGUAAGUGUUUGCCACAGUUAGCAAAUUCUGUCUUUGGAGGCCCAGGAAGCAAAUAUCUAGAAGUUUACUGUCUCCAUUUUCAGCCUUCAAAAGUUCAUAAAUAUUGAGGUCUAGAUCAGAGCACCCCUCUACACAAUUAAAAAGUGCUUGUUAUGAUAAAGGGCAAGGGUAUGAUGAUUUAUCAAUUUUUUAUUUUUCUAGAUAGAAAACAAAAAUACCAGGGUAUCUAGUCAAAGCUAUUAGAUGGCUCUAAGAUCAAAGGAGAAAAGAAAAAAUAUUCUGAAAAUUACAGACAGUACUAUAAAUAAAAGAGGUCUGCUUAUUCUUGUUCCUUUUUAGUUUCUCUUGGGGAGUUUUACUCCCUUCAAAGUUUGUCCACCAACUUAGCCAAAUGUACCACCAUGUCUGCCCCCUCAGCCUUGACCUUUGCUCCAGGCCUCAGUUCCACAAUCCAAACUGUCCACUGAAUGUUCUACCUGAAGGUUGGGCAGGAAUUGCAGCUUUGAAUGCUUUGUCUUCUCCCCAGCCUGUUUCUUCAAGGCUGUCUGCAGGCUCGGCUUUCUAGUGGCAUGGAAAUCAAUCUGGGGUAUGAGUGCUGUUGCUGCACCUAUUUGUCUUCAGAUCCGUUCCUUGCCCGUUUCCUGCUUGGGUCAGCAUCUGCAAGGCAGAUGACCUCUGCAGGCUGUGAUUCUCAGGCUCCCUGUGUCAUAUAGUUUCUUGCAGCAUUCCCCUAAUGGGAGAAACUGGCUGGCAUUUGAAAGUGUGAAGGAAGACAGCAGCCAAGUUGUUUCUCCCAUUUCUUUUUGCUUUGGGUGAUAACCCCAGCAGUGGAAGCAUCUUCUCAUGACUCCAGUGCCCACAGAACAGACAUGCCACCAUUCCAGCCUCCAAAGAUGACCCCAAACCUAGGCUCUGGUAAUAUUACCCCUUCUAUUUUUCCCUCCAACCUAAGUGUAGCUGGGGCUUCUGUCUGUUGCUGAUGCUGCAUCACAAUUUCUUGUUUGCUUUUUUGGCAAACUUCAUCACCUGUGUAACCAAUUCCCUAUGUUAAAUUCUCUGUGUUAAAUAGUCCAGAAUUUGUUCUGCUUUCCUGAUUGGAUCCUGAUGAUGCUGUAGGCAUGUUGCCAUCCAGGCACAGUUUCUGCUGCUGCAACUCCUUUGGUGUCUACAAUAUGGUGCUGGGGCAGAGAGAGAGAGAGAAAGGUAGAGCUGGGCUAAUGCAAGUUCCUUUCAGGUGAGAAGGGGGAUGGGAGAGGGUCCUAUCUGGUUGCAUGGACAUGACAUCACUUGGGGUGAUUUGAUAAAAUAUCAUGACUGGGUACCACUCUGAGAGAUUCUGAUUUAACUUAUCUAGGGUGUAGCCCAGGUACAGGUAAUUUAUAAAGCUCCCUGGGUGAGUCUAAGGUGGAGAUGGAGUUGAGAAGCACUGCCCUAGAUAAUGAGAACCCAGCUGUUGUUGCUUCUGGAGCAUGUGUGACUGUGUGAAUGAGUGUGUUUGUGUGUGUAUGGGAGAGAGAGAGAGAGACAGAGAAAGAGACAUAGAGAGGACAGCAACAGAUGAUCUUUAAUUUUUAAAAAUAAUUUUUUAAAAAAGAGGAGAGCAAUUAGAUAAAAUUGUCAACACUGACACUGAAAAAAGCCAGAGGCUUAACAAAGAAGGAAGAAACCUGCACAUUCCACUGAAGAAGUUGGAGGGGAUUAGGAUAUGCCAUCCCACAUUAUGAUUCACUGGCAUAUUCACUAUUUUGGGCUGAAGGCAACUGAGAAACAAAAGAUUUAGGAAGGGCUGUCUUCCUCCUUUCUAUCAAAAGUCAGGGCAUACAUUUCCUGUGAGAAAGAUCUCCUCCCUAAACCACGAAGAAGAAAACAUUCAUACCACAGAAGAUAAUGAGUUGACGAUGAGAGGAAUCUGUACAAACAAACCUUGCUAACAUAACACUUUUUUUCCAUUAGUUUCCUCCAUGCAUUUUCUAGUCACUUUCCCACAAUUUACCACCCUAUCCCAAACCUCUUUUUCCUUUGCCUGAUCAUGUCUCCACAAUUUAUCAUUCUUGGUUACAAUGGUAUAUGAGCCCCUGGGUCUAACCAUAUCUUUGGGGUUUCACUUCUUUCUAAGAAACCCCCUGUGUCAUGUAAAAAUAUUAACAUCAAAUAAAAUGUGUAUGUUUUUUCUUUUGUUAAUCUGUCUUUUCAAAAUUCAUUUCAUAGGCUCCAGCCACAGAACCUAAGAGGGUAGGGGAGUGUCUUUCCUACCCUACAAAGUCGAAGGCUAAUUACAUACAAUAUUUAUGUGAAGAACUGAUCAUUAUGCUUAGCCACCCUUUAACAUCAUCAAGAUUAUUCAUAACAUUUCAUUAGCUAUGUUUGUUGUGAGGUUCAGUUGUUUCCCUCAAAAAGCUCUAUGAGUGUACAAGACGUGAUGAAUCAAUAAUGGACCUGCAUUCACAAGUCACACAUGCAAAGCCAGAAAUCUUGUUUUUCUUAUCAGCCUUCUGGGCCUACCAGUCAGGCAAAAAGGUCAGUGCUUUAAAAACACCCACAUGGGCCGGGCACAGUGGCUCAUGCCUGUAAUCCCAGCACUUUGGGAGGUCGAGGUGGGCAGAUUACGAGGUCAGGAGUUCGA
RNAcentral lists this long non-coding RNA (3234 nucleotides) under Homo sapiens (human). Its description in RNAcentral is "HSALNT0008221". Lineage: Eukaryota; Metazoa; Chordata; Mammalia; Primates; Hominidae. The record is from RNAcentral.